Molecule: ribosomal RNA, 274 nt
Filed under: Alexandrium tamarense
Lineage: Eukaryota; Dinophyceae; Gonyaulacales; Pyrocystaceae
Description: partial Bacterial large subunit ribosomal RNA
Rfam family: Bacterial large subunit ribosomal RNA
Source: RNAcentral
GAGGCGAUGAAGGACGUGAUAAGCUGCGAUAAGCUACGAGGAGGUGCACAUAACCUUUGAUUCGUAGAUUUCCGAAUGGGGCAACCCGGCUGGUUGAAGACCAGUCACCUUUUAAAGGAGCGAACCCGGAGAACUGAAACAUCUAAGUACCCGGAGGAAAAGAAAUCAACCGAGAUUCCCUGAGUAGCGGCGAGCGAAAGGGGACUAGCCCUUAAGCAACUUGUGUUUUAAGAGAACAGUCUGGGAAGGCUGGCCAUAGUGGGUGAUAGCCCCG